Schizosaccharomyces pombe (fission yeast) is the source of this 530-nucleotide non-coding RNA. The record is from the annotation of a GenBank genome assembly. Lineage: Eukaryota; Fungi; Ascomycota; Schizosaccharomycetes; Schizosaccharomycetales; Schizosaccharomycetaceae.
AAAAACACGCUCAAUAUCACCUUGUUUCGUUAAAUCACCCGUAUACAUGGUGAAUUGACCAUGAAGCUCGUGUAGCAACUUUUCAUUUUCAAAGAGAUCAAAUGCAGCAAUUCGAAGAUUUUCACGUUCGCACAGCUGCCGUAUGAUAUGACCUCCUAAAAAUCCACUUCCAAUAACUAACACGGAAUUCAUCGGCAUUAAAAAAAUACAAGAAUAAACGAUUGUCUGGUUCUUGCCAGGUAUUCGACGUUACACCAUAUCGAGAAAUGAGUGAGCUUAUUUGCUACCUGUGUUUUUGGGGUGUAGGCUAGAUGCAAUACACUAACCAUGAUUAGCGAGAAAGAGAGCAGCUGUUGAAUAUGGAACAUGGGUUAGAGGAUAGUAGCCGAUUGAAACUCUAUUAGUACAAUAUGUAGUACGCACUUAGAAAACAGAAAAAUUAAGUGAGUAACAUCUCGAGUACCAUUACAAGAAAACGAUGACCUCCCGACCUCGUACCGUUCACAUCUAAAACUGGCCUAUUGUAAAGC